RNAcentral lists this long non-coding RNA (413 nucleotides) under Olea europaea subsp. europaea. Lineage: Eukaryota; Viridiplantae; Streptophyta; Magnoliopsida; Lamiales; Oleaceae. The record is from RNAcentral.
UAAUAAUUAGCAGAAAUUAGUGUGACUGAAGAAUAAGGAUACCGAUUCACAGAUCAAAUCCAAAAACCGAACCAAUAAAGCAGCAAAAUCACAAAGGCAUCAAAGCAUGAAAAUGUUCAACUAAAACCCCCAACAAUUGAUAGGAAAAAGAUAAUCGACAUGUAGUGUAAAUCACGAUUUACCCUUUGUUCAUACCGCUGUUGCUCGAUAUUAUGAUCUACAUAAUUCAGUUCCUCUUCAUCUCCUUCAAAUUUGGAACCUUAGUCCAUUGGUUUGACAUUCAACUUGUGGUCGUAAUUUUUGCAGAUUCUCAAAAUUUCCCAAGAGCAAAUUGGGAAGGGAGCGUGGAAGAGAUUUCAAAAUUGAGUUAUGCUUUUGUGGGGCCAGGGCCUAUGUGAGCUCAUUCGUUUCGC